CCUACGGGAGGCAGCAGUGGGGAAUAUUGGGCAAUGGGCGCAAGCCUGACCCAGCAACGCCGCGUGAAGGAAGACGGCCCUCGGGUUGUAAACUUCUUUUGUCACGGACGAAGAAAGUGACGGUACCUGACGAAUACGCCACGGCUAACUACGUGCCAGCAGCCGCGGUAAUCCGUAGGCGGCAAGCGUUAUCCGGAUUUACUGGGUGUAAAGGGCGUGUAGGCGGGAGUGCAAGUCAGAUGUGAAAUUCCAGUGCUCAACCAUGGAACUGCAUUUGAAACUGUAGUUCUUGAGUGAUGGUGAGGCAGGCGGAAUUCCGGGUGUAGCGGUGAAAUGCGUAGAGAUACGGAGGAACACCAGUGGCGAAGGCGGCCUGCUGGACAUUAACUGACGCUGAGGCGCGAAAGCGUGGGGAGCAAACAGGAUUAGAUACCCUAGUAGUC
RNAcentral lists this ribosomal RNA (443 nucleotides) under uncultured bacterium. RNAcentral's name for it is "partial 16S ribosomal RNA". It matches the Rfam family "Bacterial small subunit ribosomal RNA", at positions 338 to 795 of the family's 1533-position model. The record is from RNAcentral.